CGGGUGAGUAAUGUAUGGGGAUCUGCCUGAUGGCGGGGGAUAACUACUGGAAACGGUAGCUAAUACCGCAUAAUGUCUGCGGACCAAAGCGGGGGACCUCCGGGCCUCGCGCCAUCAGAUGAACCCAUAUGGGAUUAGCUAGUAGGUAAGGUAACGACUUACCUAGGCGACGAUCCCUAGCUGGUCUGAGAGGAUGAUCAGCCACACUGGGACUGAGACACGGCCCAG
This 228-nucleotide ribosomal RNA is filed under the name uncultured bacterium. Its description in RNAcentral is "partial 16S ribosomal RNA". It matches the Rfam family "Bacterial small subunit ribosomal RNA", at positions 103 to 334 of the family's 1533-position model. The record is from RNAcentral.